UUUUCAAAUUUUAUUUUUAAUGUCAAAUGUGGAGAGUUAUAUUGUAUCUGGAAUCUGAAACAUUCUUCACAAUUUACAAAUGAUGACCUUUGAUAUGGUAUGAUCCUCUCCUGAGUGGUUGCACGGUGUGUGUAGCAGGAUUACAUUACUAAGGUGACACAAUUGUGACAGUUCCCCCCCCGAGGUGCCACCUGGUAAUGGGGUACCAUGGAGCCCCCCUGACCCACCAGCCUGGGCUCCCUCUACACUGUACCACUGUGAUCAGCCUGCUAAGCCCUCUCCCAGGCUCCAGAAUACACACAGGGUGAAGCAAUGCAUCAUCGCCCUUCUCAAUGAACAGAAUGGAUUCUCAUGCAUAACUGCUUCAGAUGUGAUCAGCUCACAGUAGCAGCCACAUGCCUGUUUAGCAGGAGACCUGCUGAUGACCACAGUUGCAUGGAUGUCCAGAGACUGGACCAAUGGAAAACUUUGUUCCUUUUUGAUGACAUCACUGGCUUCUGUGACAGAAAAUAAAAGAUGCCUCUGAAGAAGCAUUCAGAAGCUCAGUUUAGAAAGUGAAAAUCUCAGUUGCAAUAUAGUUUGCAACAAGGGGCAAAUUUGAAGGGGAAACAUCUGAAACAGAACAACAUAGACUGGAUUUUAGGCAGUAGCGAUUUUCCCAGUGCAGGAGAAAUUGAGGAGUGAUACAUAAAUGAUGGAAGUCCUAUUACUAAGGAAUUAGCAAAUUUAUUUGAAGAUAGGGACUGGAACUGUGAGGAAAGUGAUGGAGAAUCAUCCAGUUUUCCUGAUGGUGUAAAGGAGAGUGAUGAUAAAGAAGAAUAUGGCUCACAUGAAAAGGAGAGUAAUGAUGAAGAAAAAUCUGCCUCGCAUGAUGACAGAAACAGCAGUGAGAAAAAUUGCACAUCCGAAAUUGAUACAUCAGAUCCUGCUUUAUGGCCAGCAAUCCUAAACUCUGCCGAUAUUGAUUGUACAAUUUUGAAUAGGCCUGGGAAAGUCAAGGAUAUGACAUUUCCAGUAAAUGAGAAGAAGUGACAUUUCUCAAAGUCACACUGAGGCAAAGAGGCAAUGGCAGGAGCCAACUGGAACCAUGAUGGCUCAUGUUAUGCCAUGCUGAUCAGUGAGAGCUCAGACACUGAACGGAGAAGAACCCUGUUAGGCUCCUGGUCGUUGAGUGACUACUGAACGCCACACCACCAUUUGUCUGCCUGUGAGACCUUAAGGGUGGGGAGUCUCUCUAUUUGAAUGUACAGUACCUAGCUCACUGAGGCCCUGAUCUCAGCUGGGGCCUCUAAGUGCUACUGUAAUCCAAUACUACUACUACUACUAACAAUAAUAUGUAGGUAUAUCUGCUUUGCACCCCUCCCUGCCACCUCCAGCAUAUGCUGUGUGACAUGGACAGGACCGAAACUGUAGGAUAUCGCAGAAGGAUCAUGCCACAAGCUGACGACGUAGGAAGUUUCCCACCUCUGAAUAGUUGUUAGAAUCUUCUCUGCAUCACAAAAGGAACAUGCUAAUAAUGGGACCGACCAAAGAGCAGAAGGAAGAACCAAUGACAGUCUAUGUUACAAUUGUGGAUUUGUUAACACCACCAUGCGUGGCACUAACCAGCCCUGUCUGCCCUGUGACUCCUCUCAGAAGAGUCAUGUAGUGUUGUCUGCAGCCACUGGCAUCCAUCAUGUCCACCAGCCAUUACUGAAGUGGCUGGAAUGGAGUGUGGAGGAGGAGGCACUAAGUGCACCUGCUGCAGAGUCACGGGCUUGGGUAUUCCCUGCAGCUCAUGAACAUAUACGUAUUUUUGCAGCCCUGCUUAUACCACAGUUUUCUGGAGCUGGGGAAGCGGGGGGAGGGGAGGGGGAAUGAGACCCAAUAGCCACAUGUCAAAACCUGCAGGGGGGAGGAUUUACUACCUUGUUCCCCUCUGAAUGGUUUUUAUGGAAAAACUGGAGCCUUAAUAAACAGCUUAAGUGAUUUAUUACUGACUUCAGCUUCAAGACAGUUUGUGUGGCACUACUGUGGAACACAAGCCAUCCCCCUCCUUCUGGGAAUGAACACCCUGGUUUCACAUUUCACAUAGCCAGAGAGACUCAAUUUCAUUUACACCAAUGUAAAGGCAGAGUAAAUCCACCAAAAGCAUUGGAACCAAACCCAGACAGGCAGAAGUACAGCUCAGAGCACUGACCACAAAACCACAAGUGCAUCAGGCUGCAGGCAUAGUUUUUCAAUAAGUACCCUUUCCUCAUUAGCUGAUUGAUCCAAAGACAAUUGGGAGUCUGUCCAAUGUCUUCAAUGGGCCCUGGAUCAGGCCUUACCAGUGAGGCCUGGGGCUGCAUAACACUUCAGCAAACAAAAAAAGUUAAUUGAUCUCCAUUUUAAAAAUGUUCAGUAAUGUUAACGGCCUGAAAUGUGGGUUUGCUUUUCUAGUGAUGUGAAAUAAAUCACGUUGAUGCAUGUGAUCAACUGAUACAUGGUGUGGUUCAAAUGCAGAAGUUUACACUCAGAGUGAAAGGUUAAGAGUUGAAGACCUAUCAAAAUUAAGAAUCCAAUAACAGUGGGGGAUUUCAAUUACCCCAUAUUAACUGGGAACAUUUCA
Long non-coding RNA from Gopherus evgoodei (Goodes thornscrub tortoise), 2590 nucleotides. RefSeq lists it as uncharacterized. Lineage: Eukaryota; Metazoa; Chordata; Testudines; Testudinidae. The record is from RefSeq and is a predicted model, not a curated record. The transcript is spliced from 6 exons.